This is a long non-coding RNA of Bos taurus (domestic cattle), 1543 nucleotides long. The record is from Ensembl. Lineage: Eukaryota; Metazoa; Chordata; Mammalia; Artiodactyla; Bovidae.
UGCCCACCAACAAGCUGGGUGAGGCCCCUCCAUGUCUCCCCUUAAUCCAUCUCACUCCAGGUUCAGCUCCUUCCUUCUGGAACUGACCUCCACUGACAACUCAGCAUUUUGUUUGGUUUUCUGAUGGCUUCAUUCCAGCAUUUUGUUCUAUUUGAGGUCAUAGUUUCAUCCCUAAUCUGGCCCCUCAUAUUUCCUGCUUCGUCAUCAGGCCCUGGAGGCCAGAAUGGGUCCCAGCCCUGGGAUUGGAAGGAAGAACUCUGAAUGGCACCCCCCUUCCCUGCCAUCUCCUAGCAGUUCAUUUCCCAUGGCUCUCCACACUGGUGUUCCCCAACACGCUGUGCCUGCGGGUCUGUUCUGCCACGAAUAAUCUCCCCUCCCAGGAGUUACCGCAGUUCCUUCUCUCCUUCAAGUCUUUGCUCAAAUGUCACCUUCCAAGUACUGCCUUCCCUGGCCACCCUAUUUAAAACUAUACACACUCCACCCUCAACCUGCACCCCAUCAUCCUUCCCUGCUUUCUCCUAUCACCACCUGAUAUCCAAUAAAUUUUACUUAUUUAUUUUCUGGCUCCACCCACAGAAUGCAUAGUCUUUAAGAGCAGGUUUGUGUUGAUUUUGUUGAUACAGUGUAGUGCCUGGCAUGUUGUAGGUGCUGGAUAAAUAUUUGUUGAAUGAAUAAAUGAAUGAAUGAGUGAAUAUCACAAGGCCCUCACACUCCCGAAUCCCAUGGCAUGGUGCCCAGCCAGCCCAGCAUCCCAGCAACCAACCCAGCCUGUGAUUGGAUCUGAAAUGGAACCAGCCUGUCUGUCAGUUUCUGAUGCUUCCUCAUUGUUCAUUUCCAAAAGGUGAAAACCUGAGGAGUCAGUCCUCCUACAGCCAGAGGAGUGGUGGUUAGGAAGGGGAUGGAGAGUGGUUUGUGUGCUCUGGGCAAAUGGAAGGUGCACUGAGGCCUUGCAGGAGAAAAGUGGGAGGAGGGCAGGGGGAAGAGGUAAGAGUCAACUUUGGUUCAUUUACUCCUUGUGUUCAGCCUUGAAGUGGAAAAUCACUGUGUAGGUAAGGGGAAAGUAGGCUUGGCCUGUGGCGGCUGAUGGGAAGGAGAGCUGGAGCAGGGAGGCAGGGAGCAGGGGAAGGAGGAGCAGGAGAUGGAGAAGCAGGAGGAAGAGAGAUUCACAGUGAGGCUGACCUGUGUGGAAAUAACUUAGUUCUGCACGGUCUGUUCCUGUGUGCUGAAUGUGCAUCCAGGUGUGAGAAUUCACAGCACAAGGGCUCACGGGGUGACCAUGUGUGGAGGCUGCCUGUGAGCAUGUGUUUACCAAGGACUAGGGACUGGAGGUGCGGAGAAGUGUAUGUAGGCAGAGUGUAAGCAUCUGAGCCCUUGUGCGUGGCUCCGCGGACAACAGUAGGUCCAUUCUUACCUGUGCAGCCCAGGGAGGUCUCUGAGAGCCUGGCAAAAGGCCCAAGGAUCGGUGAAACAGGGAAAGGGCUGGACAGUAGGGCCCCAGGGAGGGAGCAGUAAAGGGCCUGGGAUUAAAUUUGUUGAAGAGAAG